RNAcentral lists this ribosomal RNA (478 nucleotides) under uncultured bacterium. RNAcentral's name for it is "partial 16S ribosomal RNA". It matches the Rfam family "Bacterial small subunit ribosomal RNA", at positions 28 to 507 of the family's 1533-position model. The record is from RNAcentral.
GAUGAACGCUGGCGGCGUGCUUAACACAUGCAAGUCGAACGGGAAACCUUUUAAUGAAGCUUCGGCAGAUUUAGCUGGUUUCUAGUGGCGAACGGGUGAGUAACGCGUGGGUAACCUGCCUUAUACAGGGGGAUAACAGUCAGAAAUGACUGCUAAUACCGCAUAAGCGCACAGGACCGCAUGGUCCGGUGUGAAAAACUCCGGUGGUAUAAGAUGGACCCGCGUUGGAUUAGCUUGUUGGUGGGGUAACGGCUCACCAAGGCGACGAUCCAUAGCCGGCCUGAGAGGGUGAACGGCCACAUUGGGACUGAGACACGGCCCAGACUCCUACGGGAGGCAGCAGUGGGGAAUAUUGCACAAUGGGGGAAACCCUGAUGCAGCGACGCCGCGUGAAGGAAGAAGUAUCUCGGUAUGUAAACUUCUAUCAGCAGGGAAGAUAGUGACGGUACCUGACGAAGAAGCCCCGGCUAACUACGUG